This 638-nucleotide ribosomal RNA is filed under the name uncultured bacterium. RNAcentral's name for it is "bacterial SSU rRNA". It matches the Rfam family "Bacterial small subunit ribosomal RNA", at positions 65 to 737 of the family's 1533-position model. The record is from RNAcentral.
AACGUGAAGCCAGAGCUUGCUCUGGUGGAAAGUAGCAGACGGGUGAGUAACGCGUGGGAAUUUACCCAGUGGUACGGAAUAACUCAGGGAAACGUGAGCUAAUACCGUAUACGCCCUUCGGGGGAAAGAUUUAUCGCCAUUGGAUGAGCCCGCGUCGGAUUAGCUAGUUGGUGGGGUAAUGGCCUACCAAGGCGACGAUCCGUAGCUGGUCUGAGAGGAUGAUCAGCCACACUGGGACUGAGACACGGCCCAGACUCCUACGGGAGGCAGCAGUGGGGAAUAUUGCACAACGGGCGCAAGCCUGAUGCAGCCAUGCCGCGUGAGUGAAGAAGGCCUUAGGGUUGUAAAACUCUUUCGCCGGUGAAGAUAAUGACGGUAACCGGUAAAGAAGCCCCGGCUAACUCCGUGCUAGCAGCCGCGGUAAUACGGAGGGGGCUAGCGUUGUUCGGAAUUACUGGGCAUAAAGCGCACGUAGGCGGACUGGUCAGUUGGGGGUGAAAGCCCAAGGCUCAACCUUGGAACUGCCCUCAAUACUACCAGUCUUGAGUCCGGGAGAGGUGAGUGGAAUUCCUAGUGUAGAGGUGAAAUUCGUAGAUAUUAGGAAGAACACCAGUGGCGAAGGCGGCUCACUGGCCCGG